UGACUUGCGGAGGUCAUUACCGAGUGAGGGCCCUCUGGGUCCAACCUCCCACCCGUGUUUAUUUUACCUUGUUGCUUCGGCGGGCCCGCCUUAACUGGCCGCCGGGGGGCUCACGCCCCCGGGCCCGCGCCCGCCGAAGACACCCUCGAACUCUGUCUGAAGAUUGAAGUCUGAGUGAAAAUAUAAAUUAUUUAAAACUUUCAACAACGGAUCUCUUGGUUCCGGCAUCGAUGAAGAACGCAGCGAAAUGCGAUACGUAAUGUGAAUUGCAAAUUCAGUGAAUCAUCGAGUCUUUGAACGCACAUUGCGCCCCCUGGUAUUCCGGGGGGCAUGCCUGUCCGAGCGUCAUUGCUGCCCUCAAGCCCGGCUUGUGUGUUGGGCCCCGUCCUCCGAUCUCCGGGGGACGGGCCCGAAAGGCAGCGGCGGCACCGCGUCCGGUCCUCGAGCGUAUGGGGCUUUGUCACCCGCUCUGUAGGCCCGGCCGGCGCUUGCCGAUCAACCCAAAUUUUUAUCCAGGUUGACCUCGGAUCAGGUAGGGAUACCCGCUGAACUUAAGCAUAUCAAAAAACCGGAAGGAAAGG
Molecule: ribosomal RNA, 581 nt
Filed under: Penicillium commune
Lineage: Eukaryota; Fungi; Ascomycota; Eurotiomycetes; Eurotiales; Aspergillaceae
Description: eukaryotic LSU rRNA
Rfam family: 5.8S ribosomal RNA (bases 196-348)
Source: RNAcentral